AUUGAACGCUGGCGGCAUGCCUUACACAUGCAAGUCGAACGGUAACAGGUCUUCGGAUGCUGACGAGUGGCGAACGGGUGAGUAAUACAUCGGAACGUGCCUAGUAGUGGGGGAUAACUACUCGAAAGAGUGGCUAAUACCGCAUGAGAUCUACGGAUGAAAGCAGGGGAUCGCAAGACCUUGUGCUACUAGAGCGGCCGAUGGCAGAUUAGGUAGUUGGUGGGAUAAAAGCUUACCAAGCCGACGAUCUGUAGCUGGUCUGAGAGGACGACCAGCCACACUGGGGCGGAGACACGGCCCAGACUCCUACGGGAGGCAGCAGUGGGGAAUUUUGGACAAUGGGCGCAAGCCUGAUCCAGCAAUGCCGCGUGCAGGAUGAAGGCCUUCGGGUUGUAAACUGCUUUUGUACGGAACGAAAAGCCCUGGGUUAAUACCCUGGGGUCAUGACGGUACCGUAAGAAUAAGCACCGGCUAACUACAUGCCAGCAGCCGCGGUAA
Molecule: ribosomal RNA, 498 nt
Filed under: uncultured bacterium
Lineage: Bacteria
Description: partial 16S ribosomal RNA
Rfam family: Bacterial small subunit ribosomal RNA
Source: RNAcentral